UACAGAGGGUGCGAGCGUUAAUCGGAAUUACUGGGCGUAAAGCGUGCGUAGACGGUUAUUUAAGUCGGGUGUGAAAGCCCCGGGCUCAACCUGGGAAUUGCAUUCGAGACUGAAUAGCUAGGGUACGGUAGAGGGAAGCGGAAUUUCCGGUGUAGCGGUGAAAUGCGUAGAUAUCGGAAGGAACAUCAGUGGCGAAAGCGGCUUCCUGGACCAGUACCGACGUUCAGGCACGAAAGCUAGGGGAGCGAACGGG
RNAcentral lists this ribosomal RNA (253 nucleotides) under uncultured bacterium. RNAcentral's name for it is "partial 16S ribosomal RNA". It matches the Rfam family "Bacterial small subunit ribosomal RNA", at positions 524 to 776 of the family's 1533-position model. The record is from RNAcentral.